AUUGAACGCUGGCGGCAGGCCUAACACAUGCAAGUCGAGCGGAAACGAAGGGAGCUUGCUCCCAGGCGUCGAGCGGCGGACGGGUGAGUAAUGCAUAGGAAUCUGCCCGAUAGUGGGGGAUAACCUGGGGAAACCCAGGCUAAUACCGCAUACGUCCUACGGGAGAAAGCAGGGGCUCUUCGGACCUUGCGCUAUCGGAUGAGCCUAUGUCGGAUUAGCUGGUUGGUGAGGUAAUGGCUCACCAAGGCGACGAUCCGUAGCUGGUCUGAGAGGAUGAUCAGCCACAUCGGGACUGAGACACGGCCCGAACUCCUACGGGAGGCAGCAGUGGGGAAUAUUGGACAAUGGGCGCAAGCCUGAUCCAGCCAUGCCGCGUGUGUGAAGAAGGCCCUCGGGUUGUAAAGCACUUUCAGUGGGGAAGAAAGCCUUGGGGUUAAUACCCUCGAGGAAGGACAUCACCCACAGAAGAAGCACCGGCUAACUCCGUGCCAGCAGCCGCGGUAAUACGGAGGGUGCGAGCGUUAAUCGGAAUUACUGGGCGUAAAGCGCGCGUAGGUGGCUUGAUAAGCCGGUUGUGAAAGCCCCGGGCUCAACCUGGGAACGGCAUCCGGAACUGUCAGGCUAGAGUGCAGGAGAGGAAGGUAGAAUUCCCGGUGUAGCGGUGAAAUGCGUAGAGAUCGGGAGGAAUACCAGUGGCGAAGGCGCUYUGGACUGACACUGACACUGAGGUGSGAAAGCGUGGGUAGCAAACAGGAUUAGAUACCUGGUAGUCCACGCCGUAAACGAUGUCGACUAGCCGUUGGGAGCCUCGAGUUCUUAGUGGCGCAGUUAACGCGAUAAGUCGACCGCCUGGGGAGUACGGCCGCAAGGUUAAAACUCAAAUGAAUUGACGGGGGCCCGCACAAGCGGUGGAGCAUGUGGUUUAAUUCGAUGCAACGCGAAGAACCUUACCUACCCUUGACAUCGUGCGAACUUGGUAGAGAUACCUUGGUGCCUUCGGGAACGCACAGACAGGUGCUGCAUGGCUGUCGUCAGCUCGUGUUGUGAAAUGUUGGGUUAAGUCCCGUAACGAGCGCAACCCUUGUCCCUAUUUGCCAGCGAUUCGGUCGGGAACUCUAGGGAGACUGCCGGUGACAAACCGGAGGAAGGUGGGGASGACGUCAAGUCAUCAUGGCCCUUACGGGUAGGGCUACACACGUGCUACAAUGGUCGGUACAAAGGGUUGCAAAGCGGCGACGUGGAGCUAAUCCCAGAAAGCUGAUCUCAGUCCGGAUCGGAGUCUGCAACUCGACUCCGUGAAGUCGGAAUCGCUAGUAAUCGUGAAUCAGAAUGUCACGGUGAAUACGUUCCCGGGCCUUGUACACACCGCCCGUCACACCAUGGGAGUGGACUGCMCCAGAAGUGGUUAGCCUAACUUCGGAGGGCGAUCACCMCGGUGUGUUCAUGACUGGGGUGAAGUCGUAACAAGGUAGCCGUAGGGGAACC
This 1485-nucleotide ribosomal RNA is filed under the name Halomonas sp. Sua-BAC013. RNAcentral's name for it is "bacterial SSU rRNA". It matches the Rfam family "Bacterial small subunit ribosomal RNA". The record is from RNAcentral. Lineage: Bacteria; Pseudomonadati; Pseudomonadota; Gammaproteobacteria; Oceanospirillales; Halomonadaceae.